GACGGAGGAGGCUAGCGUUGUUCGGAAUUACUGGGCGUAAAGCGCGCGCGGGCGGUUUGGCAAGUCAGGGGGGAAAGCCCGGGGCUCAACCUCGGAACGGCCUUUGAGACUGCCAGACUUGAGACCGGAAGAGGAGAGUGGAAUUCCCAGUGUAGAGGUGAAAUUCGUAGAUAUUGGGAAGAACACCAGUGGCGAAGGCGGCUCUCUGGUCCGGUACUGACGCUGAGGCGCGAAAGCGUGGGGAGCAAACAGG
This 253-nucleotide ribosomal RNA is filed under the name uncultured bacterium. RNAcentral's name for it is "partial 16S ribosomal RNA". It matches the Rfam family "Bacterial small subunit ribosomal RNA", at positions 524 to 776 of the family's 1533-position model. The record is from RNAcentral.